UACGUAGGAGGCAAGCGUUGUCCGGAAUACUGGCGUAAGCGUGCGCAGGCGGUUUGUAAGUCUGUCGUGAAAUCCCCGGGCUCAACCUGGGAAUUGCGAUGGAGACUGCAAGGCUAGAAUCUGGCAGAGGGGGGUAGAAUUCCACGUGUAGCAGUGAAAUGCGUAGAGAUGUGGAGGAAUACCGAUGGCGAAGGCAGCCCCCUGGGUCAAUACUGACGCUGAGACGCGAAAGCGUGGGGAGCAAACAGG
RNAcentral lists this ribosomal RNA (249 nucleotides) under uncultured bacterium. RNAcentral's name for it is "partial 16S ribosomal RNA". It matches the Rfam family "Bacterial small subunit ribosomal RNA", at positions 524 to 776 of the family's 1533-position model. The record is from RNAcentral.